Molecule: ribosomal RNA, 232 nt
Filed under: uncultured crenarchaeote
Lineage: Archaea; Thermoproteati; Thermoproteota
Description: partial 16S ribosomal RNA
Rfam family: Archaeal small subunit ribosomal RNA
Source: RNAcentral
CUAGAAACACUAACAAAUAAGGGGUGGGCAAGUUCUGGUGUCACCCCCCGCGGUAAAACCAGCCCCUCAAGUGGUCAGGAUGAUUAUUGGGCCUAAAGCAUCCGUAGCCGGUUCUGUAAGUCCUCGGUUAAAUCUGUACGCUUAACGUACGGGCUGCCGGGAAUACUGCAUAGCUAGGGAGUGGGAGAGGUAGACGGUACUCGGUAGGAAGGGGUAAAAUCCUUUGAUCUAU